This 64-nucleotide transfer RNA is filed under the name Coemansia sp. RSA 720. RNAcentral's name for it is "tRNA-Ser". It matches the Rfam family "tRNA", at positions 8 to 60 of the family's 71-position model. Rfam says of the family: Transfer RNA (tRNA) molecules are approximately 80 nucleotides in length. Lineage: Eukaryota; Fungi; Kickxellomycota; Kickxellomycetes; Kickxellales; Kickxellaceae. The record is from RNAcentral.
UGGCCGAGUGGUUAAGGCGACAGACUCGAAAUCUGUUGGGAUUUUCCCGCACAGGUUCAAAUCC